This 468-nucleotide ribosomal RNA is filed under the name uncultured bacterium. RNAcentral's name for it is "partial 16S ribosomal RNA". It matches the Rfam family "Bacterial small subunit ribosomal RNA", at positions 28 to 507 of the family's 1533-position model. The record is from RNAcentral.
GACGAGCGCUGGCGGCGUGCUUAACACAUGCAAGUCGAACGGAAAGGCCCUGCUUUUGUGGGGUGCUCGAGUGGCGAACGGGUGAGUAACACGUGAGUAACCUGCCCUUGACUUUGGGAUAACUUCAGGAAACUGGGGCUAAUACCGGAUAGGAGCUCCUGCUGCAUGGUGGGGGUUGGAAAGUUUCGGCGGUUGGGGAUGGACUCGCGGCUUAUCAGCUUGUUGGUGGGGUAGUGGCUUACCAAGGCUUUGACGGGUAGCCGGCCUGAGAGGGUGACCGGCCACAUUGGGACUGCGAUACGGCCCAGACUCCUACGGGAGGCAGCAGUGGGGAAUAUUGCACAAUGGGCGGAAGCCUGAUGCAGCAACGCCGCGUGCGGGAUGCCGGCCUUCGGGUUGUAAACCGCUUUCGCCUGUGACGAAGCGUGAGUGACGGUAGUGGGUAAAGAAGCACCGGCUAACUACGUG